ACAACGAAGAGUUUGAUCCUGGCUCAGGAUGAACGCUAGCGACAGGCUUAACACAUGCAAGUCGAGGGGCAGCGGGGGUAGCGAUACCCGCCGGCGACCGGCGCACGGGUGAGUAACGCGUAUGCAACUUGCCUAUCAGAGGGGGAUAACCCGGCGAAAGUCGGACUAAUACCGCAUGAAGCAGGGGCCCCGCAUGGGGGUAUUUGCUAAAGAUUCAUCGCUGAUAGAUAGGCAUGCGUUCCAUUAGGCAGUUGGCGGGGUAACGGCCCACCAAACCGACGAUGGAUAGGGGUUCUGAGAGGAAGGUCCCCCACAUUGGUACUGAGACACGGACCAAACUCCUACGGGAGGCAGCAGUGAGGAAUAUUGGUCAAUGGCCGAGAGGCUGAACCAGCCAAGUCGCGUGAGGGAUGAAGGUUCUAUGGAUCGUAAACCUCUUUUAUAAGGGAAUAAAGUGCGGGACGUGUCCCGUUUUGUAUGUACCUUAUGAAUAAGGAUCGGCUAACUCCGUGCCAGCAGCCGCGGUAAUACGGAGGAUCCGAGCGUUAUCCGGAUUUAUUGGGUUUAAAGGGUGCGUAGGCGGCCUUUUAAGUCAGCGGUGAAAGUCUGUGGCUCAACCAUAGAAUUGCCGUUGAAACUGGGGGGCUUGAGUAUGUUUGAGGCAGGCGGAAUGCGUGGUGUAGCGGUGAAAUGCUUAGAUAUCACGCAGAACCCCGAUUGCGAAGGCAGCCUGCCAAGCCAUGACUGACGCUGAUGCACGAAAGCGUGGGGAUCAAACAGGAUUAGAUACCCUGGUAGUCCACGCAGUAAACGAUGAUCACUAGCUGUUUGCGAUACAUUGUAAGCGGCACAGCGAAAGCGUUAAGUGAUCCACCUGGGGAGUACGCCGGCAACGGUGAAACUCAAAGGAAUUGACGGGGGCCCGCACAAGCGGAGGAACAUGUGGUUUAAUUCGAUGAUACGCGAGGAACCUUACCCGGGUUUGAACGCAUUCGGACCGAGGUGGAAACACCUUUUCUAGCAAUAGCCGUUUGCGAGGUGCUGCAUGGUUGUCGUCAGCUCGUGCCGUGAGGUGUCGGCUUAAGUGCCAUAACGAGCGCAACCCUUGCCACUAGUUACUAACAGGUAAAGCUGAGGACUCUGGUGGGACUGCCAGCGUAAGCUGCGAGGAAGGCGGGGAUGACGUCAAAUCAGCACGGCCCUUACAUCCGGGGCGACACACGUGUUACAAUGGCGUGGACAAAGGGAAGCCACCUGGCGACAGGGAGCGAAUCCCCAAACCACGUCUCAGUUCGGAUCGGAGUCUGCAACCCGACUCCGUGAAGCUGGAUUCGCUAGUAAUCGCGCAUCAGCCAUGGCGCGGUGAAUACGUUCCCGGGCCUUGUACACACCGCCCGUCAAGCCAUGGGAGCCGGGGGUACCUGAAGUCCGUAACCGCGAGGAUCGGCCUAGGGUAAAACUGGUGACUGGGGCUAAGUCGUAACAAGGUAGCCGUACCGGAAGGUGCGGCUGGAACACCUCCUUU
This 1525-nucleotide ribosomal RNA is filed under the name Parabacteroides distasonis. RNAcentral's name for it is "bacterial SSU rRNA". It matches the Rfam family "Bacterial small subunit ribosomal RNA". The record is from RNAcentral. Lineage: Bacteria; Pseudomonadati; Bacteroidota; Bacteroidia; Bacteroidales; Tannerellaceae.